Molecule: ribosomal RNA, 2015 nt
Filed under: Listeria monocytogenes
Lineage: Bacteria; Bacillati; Bacillota; Bacilli; Caryophanales; Listeriaceae
Description: partial 23S ribosomal RNA
Rfam family: Bacterial large subunit ribosomal RNA
Source: RNAcentral
GCUUGCUUCUUGGGGUUGUAGGACACUCUAUACGGAGUUACAAAAGAAAGUUAUAAAUGAAGCGGUCUGGAAAGGCCCGCCAAAGACGGUAACAGCCCGGUAGUUGAAAUGGCUUUCCCUCCAGAGUGGAUCCUGAGUACGGCGGAACACGUGAAAUUCCGUCGGAAUCCGGGAGGACCAUCUCCCAAGGCUAAAUACUCCCUAGUGACCGAUAGUGAACCAGUACCGUGAGGGAAAGGUGAAAAGCACCCCGGAAGGGGAGUGAAACAGUUCCUGAAACCGUGUGCCUACAAGUAGUUAGAGCCCGUUAAUGGGUGAUAGCGUGCCUUUUGUAGAAUGAACCGGCGAGUUACGAUUUGUUGCAAGGUUAAGCGGAAAAAGCGGAGCCGUAGCGAAAGCGAGUCUGAAUAGGGCGCAUAAGUAACAGGUCGUAGACCCGAAACCAGGUGAUCUACCCAUGUCCAGGAUGAAGGUAAGGUAAUACUUACUGGAGGUCCGAACCCACGCACGUUGAAAAGUGCGGGGAUGAGGUGUGGGUAGCGGAGAAAUUCCAAUCGAACUUGGAGAUAGCUGGUUCUCUCCGAAAUAGCUUUAGGGCUAGCCUCGAGGUAAAGAGUCAUGGAGGUAGAGCACUGUUUGGACUAGGGGCCCUUCUCGGGUUACCGAAUUCAGAUAAACUCCGAAUGCCAUGUACUUAUACUCGGGAGUCAGACUGCGAGUGAUAAGAUCCGUAGUCGAAAGGGAAACAGCCCAGACCACCAGUUAAGGUCCCCAAAUAUAUGUUAAGUGGAAAAGGAUGUGGGGUUGCUUAGACAACCAGGAUGUUGGCUUAGAAGCAGCCACCAUUGAAAGAGUGCGUAAUAGCUCACUGGUCGAGUGACCCCGCGCCGAAAAUGUACCGGGGCUAAACAUAUUACCGAAACUGUGGAUGAACCUCUUUAGAGGUUCGUGGUAGGAGAGCGUUCUAAGGGCGGUGAAGUCAGACCGGAAGGACUGGUGGAGCGCUUAGAAGUGAGAAUGCCGGUAUGAGUAGCGAAAGAAGGGUGAGAAUCCCUUCCACCGAAUAUCUAAGGUUUCCUGAGGAAGGCUCGUCCGCUCAGGGUUAGUCGGGACCUAAGCCGAGGCCGAUAGGCGUAGGCGAUGGACAACAGGUAGAGAUUCCUGUACCAGUGCUAAUUGUUUAACCGAUGGGGUGACACAGAAGGAUAGGGAAUCGCACGAAUGGAAAUGUGCGUCCAAGCAGUGAGUGUGAGAAGUAGGCAAAUCCGCUUCUCGCGAAGCAUGAGCUGUGAUGGGGAAGGAAAUUAAGUACGGAAGUUCCUGAUUUCACGCUGUCAAGAAAAGCCUCUAGGAAGAGUAGUACUGCCCGUACCGCAAACCGACACAGGUAGAUGAGGAGAGAAUCCUAAGGUGAGCGAGAGAACUCUCGUUAAGGAACUCGGCAAAAUGACCCCGUAACUUCGGGAGAAGGGGUGCUCUAUUAGGGUGCAAGCCCGAGAGAGCCGCAGUGAAUAGGCCCAGGCGACUGUUUAGCAAAAACACAGGUCUCUGCAAAACCGUAAGGUGACGUAUAGGGGCUGACGCCUGCCCGGUGCUGGAAGGUUAAGAGGAGUGCUUAGCUUCGGCGAAGGUACGAAUUGAAGCCCCAGUAAACGGCGGCCGUAACUAUAACGGUCCUAAGGUAGCGAAAUUCCUUGUCGGGUAAGUUCCGACCCGCACGAAAGGCGCAACGAUCUGGGCACUGUCUCAACGAGAGACUCGGUGAAAUUAUAGUACCUGUGAAGAUGCAGGUUACCCGCGACAGGACGGAAAGACCCCGUGGAGCUUUACUGCAACCUGAUAUGGAAUGUUUGUACCGCUUGUACAGGAUAGGUAGGAGCCGAAGAGACGUGUGCGCUAGCAUACGAGGAGGCAAUGGUGGGAUACUACCCUGGCUGUAUGACCAUUCUAACCCGCCACGCUUAGCGCGUGGGGAGACAGUGUCAGGUGGGCAGUUUGACUGGGGCGGUCGCCUC